GCAGGUACGGCGAUAUGGGUCCCCAAUGACCAUCGUAGGCAAAAUCGUUGGCGCGGCAUCUGCUCAUUAUCUGGCUGGUCUGCUGCGUUCUGGUCAUAGCCCUGCCAGUCCCGGUCAUAGUGAGCAGC
Molecule: non-coding RNA, 128 nt
Organism: Macrostomum lignano
Lineage: Eukaryota; Metazoa; Platyhelminthes; Macrostomidae
Source: Rfam